UGUAGUUUUUUGCUCGGAAAGGAAUGAAAAAAGUGGACGGAGAAGGUUUUCAGUCAUUAAGAUGCCAGAACGAUGUCCUCAAAACACAAUGUGUCAGUGUCCAUUACCCUGCUGAAAGAGGCCAGCGCCAUCAGGGAAUACCUCUGCCAUGAACAGGAGUGCAACAGUGUUUAUGUGGUUGACCUUCUGGACCAUGAUUAGGCUCAAGACGGGAUCAGACCCGUUUGAUCCGCUCUGGAUUCUGUAUCGAUCAUACCAGCAUGAAGAUUUUCGCUGAGUACAGUAGCUCUCCUGUGGGAGUGGGACACACAUGUGUGUGAAGUGCACAAACACCCAAAUGUUACUCUUACUAAUGACUGAUAUAAUAACGGUCUCAUUCCAAAGCCAUGUGCAUUAACAUGGUGGUGGUGCAUCCACAAAGUUGGCCAUAUAAUAUGUUAUAGGUGGAAAUUUGGCAGGUGCACAGAUUUCAAAGCCAUUCAAAACAAUUUUGAUUCUGACCU
Molecule: long non-coding RNA, 503 nt
Organism: Maylandia zebra (zebra mbuna)
Lineage: Eukaryota; Metazoa; Chordata; Actinopteri; Cichliformes; Cichlidae
Source: RefSeq, a predicted model, not a curated record